Molecule: ribosomal RNA, 253 nt
Filed under: uncultured bacterium
Lineage: Bacteria
Description: partial 16S ribosomal RNA
Rfam family: Bacterial small subunit ribosomal RNA
Source: RNAcentral
UACGAAGGGGGCUAGCGUUGCUCGGAAUCACUGGGCGUAAAGCGCACGUAGGCGGAUUGCUAAGUCAGGGGUGAAAUCCUGGAGCUCAACUCCAGAACUGCCUUUGAUACUGGUGAUCUUGAGUCCGGAAGAGGUGAGUGGAACUCCGAGUGUAGAGGUGAAAUUCGUAGAUAUUCGGAAGAACACCAGUGGCGAAGGCGGCUCACUGGUCCGGUACUGACGCUGAGGUGCGAAAGCGUGGGGAGCAAACAGG